CUGAACGCUGGCGGCAUGCCUUACACCUGCCAGUCGAACGGCAGCGCGGACUUCGGUCUGGCGGCGAGUGGCGAACGGGUGAGUAAUACAUCGGAACGUACCCUGUUGUGGGGGAUAACUAGUCGAAAGAUUAGCUAAUACCGCAUACGACCUGAGGGUGAAAGUGGGGGACCGCAAGGCCUCACGCAGCAGGAGCGGCCGAUGUCUGAUUAGCUAGUUGGUGGGGUAAAGGCCCACCAAGGCGACGAUCAGUAGCUGGUCUGAGAGGACGAUCAGCCACACUGGGACUGAGACACGGCCCAGACUCCUACGGGAGGCAGCAGUGGGGAAUUUUGGACAAUGGGGGCAACCCUGAUCCAGCAAUGCCGCGUGUGUGAAGAAGGCCUUCGGGUUGUAAAGCACUUUUGUCCGGAAAGAAAUCGCGCUGGUUAAUACCUGGCGUGGAUGACGGUACCGGAAGAAUAAGCACCGGCUAACUACGUG
RNAcentral lists this ribosomal RNA (483 nucleotides) under uncultured bacterium. Its description in RNAcentral is "partial 16S ribosomal RNA". It matches the Rfam family "Bacterial small subunit ribosomal RNA", at positions 30 to 507 of the family's 1533-position model. The record is from RNAcentral.